GACGUACCGAGCGAACGUUGUUCGGAAUCAUUGGGCUUAAAGGGCGCGUAGGCGGGCGCUCAAGUCCGCGGUGAAAUCCUCCGGCUCAACCGGAGAACUGCCUCGGAUACUGGGCGUCUCGAGUGUGGUAGGGGUAUGCGGAACUAUCGGUGGAGCGGUGAAAUGCGUUGAUAUCGAUAGGAACUCCGGUGGCGAAGGCGGCAUACUGGACCACCACUGACGCUGAUGCGCGAAAGCCAGGGGAGCAAACGGG
This 253-nucleotide ribosomal RNA is filed under the name uncultured bacterium. RNAcentral's name for it is "partial 16S ribosomal RNA". It matches the Rfam family "Bacterial small subunit ribosomal RNA", at positions 524 to 776 of the family's 1533-position model. The record is from RNAcentral.